Molecule: long non-coding RNA, 215 nt
Filed under: Solanum tuberosum (potato)
Lineage: Eukaryota; Viridiplantae; Streptophyta; Magnoliopsida; Solanales; Solanaceae
Description: long non-coding RNA (STUB_LNC004692)
Source: RNAcentral
GUUAUCUAUUAAUUGUUUUAUUUAUAUCUGCUACACAGUCUAAAUCUAAGAAAUUAUGUUGUUCAGUUAUUGGUUUAGGUGUCCAUUUUUUAUUUAAUAUUUUAUCCCCAUAUAGUUUUUUCUCUAUCAUAUUGUUCAUAGUUUGCGUUAUAAUAUCUUGGAUUUAAGUUUUUUGGAUUUUUUACUCCUGAUGUAUUGGGUUUUUCAUCCAUGUC